GGUUAAGCGACUAAGCGUACACGGUGGAUGCCCUGGCAGUCAGAGGCGAUGAAGGACGUGCUAAUCUGCGAUAAGCGCCGGUAAGGUGAUAUGAACCGUUAUAACCGGCGAUUUCCGAAUGGGGAAACCCAGUGUGACUCGUCACACUAUCAUUAACUGAAUCCAUAGGUUAAUGAGGCGAACCGGGGGAACUGAAACAUCUAAGUACCCCGAGGAAAAGAAAUCAACCGAGAUUCCCCCAGUAGCGGCGAGCGAACGGGGAGGAGCCCAGAGCCUGAAUCAGCAUGUGUGUUAGUGGAAGCGUCUGGAAAGGCGCGCGAUACAGGGUGACAGCCCCGUACACAAAAGCGCAUGUGCUGUGAGCUCGAUGAGUAGGGCGGGACACGUGGUAUCCUGUCUGAAUAUGGGGGGACCAUCCUCCAAGGCUAAAUACUCCUGACUGACCGAUAGUGAACCAGUACCGUGAGGGAAAGGCGAAAAGAACCCCGGCGAGGGGAGUGAAAAAGAACCUGAAACCGUGUACGUACAAGCAGUGGGAGCACCUUCGGGUGUGACUGCGUACCUUUUGUAUAAUGGGUCAGCGACUUAUAUUCUGUAGCAAGGUUAACCGUAUAGGGGAGCCGGAGGGAAACCGAGUCUUAACCGGGCGUUAAGUUGCAGGGUAUAGACCCGAAACCCGGUGAUCUAGCCAUGGGCAGGUUGAAGGUUGGGUAACACUAACUGGAGGACCGAACCGACUAAUGUUGAAAAAUUAGCGGAUGACCUGUGGCUGGGGGUGAAAGGCCAAUCAAACCGGGAGAUAGCUGGUUCUCCCCGAAAGCUAUUUAGGUAGCGCCUCGUGAAUUCAUCUCCGGGGGUAGAGCACUGUUUCGGCUAGGGGGCCAUCCCGGCUUACCAACCCGAUGCAAACUGCGAAUACCGGAGAAUGUUAUCACGGGAGACACACGGCGGGUGCUAACGUCCGUCGUGAAGAGGGAAACAACCCAGACCGCCAGCUAAGGUCCCAAAGUCAUGGUUAAGUGGGAAACGAUGUGGGAAGGCCCAGACAGCCAGGAUGUUGGCUUAGAAGCAGCCAUCAUUUAAAGAAAGCGUAAUAGCUCACUGGUCGAGUCGGCCUGCGCGGAAGAUGUAACGGGGCUAAACCAUGCACCGAAGCUGCGGCAGCGACGCUGAUGCGUUGUUGGGUAGGGGAGCGUUCUGUAAGCCUGUGAAGGUGGCCUGUGAGGGUUGCUGGAGGUAUCAGAAGUGCGAAUGCUGACAUAAGUAACGAUAAAGCGGGUGAAAAGCCCGCUCGCCGGAAGACCAAGGGUUCCUGUCCAACGUUAAUCGGGGCAGGGUGAGUCGACCCCUAAGGCGAGGCCGAAAGGCGUAGUCGAUGGGAAACAGGUUAAUAUUCCUGUACUUGGUGUUACUGCGAAGGGGGGACGGAGAAGGCUAUGUUGGCCGGGCGACGGUUGUCCCGGUUUAAGCGUGUAGGCUGGUUUUCCAGGCAAAUCCGGAAAAUCAAGGCUGAGGCGUGACGACGAGGCACUACGGUGCUGAAGCAACAAAUGCCCUGCUUCCAGGAAAAGCCUCUAAGCAUCAGGUAACAUCAAAUCGUACCCCAAACCGACACAGGUGGUCAGGUAGAGAAUACCAAGGCGCUUGAGAGAACUCGGGUGAAGGAACUAGGCAAAAUGGUGCCGUAACUUCGGGAGAAGGCACGCUGACACGUAGGUGAAGUGAUUUACUCAUGGAGCUGAAGUCAGUCGAAGAUACCAGCUGGCUGCAACUGUUUAUUAAAAACACAGCACUGUGCAAACACGAAAGUGGACGUAUACGGUGUGACGCCUGCCCGGUGCCGGAAGGUUAAUUGAUGGGGUCAGCGCAAGCGAAGCUCCUGAUCGAAGCCCCGGUAAACGGCGGCCGUAACUAUAACGGUCCUAAGGUAGCGAAAUUCCUUGUCGGGUAAGUUCCGACCUGCACGAAUGGCGUAAUGAUGGCCAGGCUGUCUCCACCCGAGACUCAGUGAAAUUGAACUCGCUGUGAAGAUGCAGUGUACCCGCGGCAAGACGGAAAGACCCCGUGAACCUUUACUAUAGCUUGACACUGAACAUUGAGCCUUGAUGUGUAGGAUAGGUGGGAGGCUUUGAAGUGUGGACGCCAGUCUGCAUGGAGCCGACCUUGAAAUACCACCCUUUAAUGUUUGAUGUUCUAACGUGGACCCGUGAUCCGGGUUGCGGACAGUGUCUGGUGGGUAGUUUGACUGGGGCGGUCUCCUCCUAAAGAGUAACGGAGGAGCACGAAGGUUGGCUAAUCCUGGUCGGACAUCAGGAGGUUAGUGCAAUGGCAUAAGCCAGCUUGACUGCGAGCGUGACGGCGCGAGCAGGUGCGAAAGCAGGUCAUAGUGAUCCGGUGGUUCUGAAUGGAAGGGCCAUCGCUCAACGGAUAAAAGGUACUCCGGGGAUAACAGGCUGAUACCGCCCAAGAGUUCAUAUCGACGGCGGUGUUUGGCACCUCGAUGUCGGCUCAUCACAUCCUGGGGCUGAAGUAGGUCCCAAGGGUAUGGCUGUUCGCCAUUUAAAGUGGUACGCGAGCUGGGUUUAGAACGUCGUGAGACAGUUCGGUCCCUAUCUGCCGUGGGCGCUGGAGAACUGAGGGGGGCUGCUCCUAGUACGAGAGGACCGGAGUGGACGCAUCACUGGUGUUCGGGUUGUCAUGCCAAUGGCACUGCCCGGUAGCUAAAUGCGGAAGAGAUAAGUGCUGAAAGCAUCUAAGCACGAAACUUGCCCCGAGAUGAGUUCUCCCUGAGACUUAGAGUCUCCUGAAGGAACGUUGAAGACGACGACGUUGAUAGGCCGGGUGUGUAAGCGCAGCGAUGCGUUGAGCUAACCGGUACUAAUGAACCGUGAGGCUUAACCUU
This 2902-nucleotide ribosomal RNA is filed under the name Salmonella enterica subsp. enterica serovar Alachua. RNAcentral's name for it is "23S ribosomal RNA". It matches the Rfam family "Bacterial large subunit ribosomal RNA". Lineage: Bacteria; Pseudomonadati; Pseudomonadota; Gammaproteobacteria; Enterobacterales; Enterobacteriaceae. The record is from RNAcentral.